RNAcentral lists this long non-coding RNA (1158 nucleotides) under Cavia porcellus (domestic guinea pig). RNAcentral's name for it is "lncRNA (ENSCPOG00000037076.1)". The record is from RNAcentral. Lineage: Eukaryota; Metazoa; Chordata; Mammalia; Rodentia; Caviidae.
AUGCCAACGUGGAUUCCAAACACACAGCUCAAACUUAGAAAAUCUCAGAUGUCCUCUGAGAAAUCAGGAGUAAGCUCUUGUCCCACUGAUUUUCAUUUGUUUGUUGGUCUUCCUUGUUUAUCACAGAUUUUUGGUUUAAGAAAUUCUCCAGCCACAAGCUCAGCCUGUCAGUCUGUCGGAGUUCCUCACAGACAGGAAUGCAGGCUCAGGACUCUGAAGUAUACAACCUUCACACCUGAAACGUCUGUGAGCCUAAGUGUCUGCUGCAAUGCCGGAAGCAGGGAGCCGGGAGGACUGUGGCUGGCUGUGCGCAGGCUGACUCAGAAUCGCUGGGGAAGCUUGUGGAACACGAAGAUUCCUGCAUGUGCCACAUCUCAGAUCGAAAUUCACAGUGCUGGGCUGGUUCUAAGUACUGGGUCAUCUCCAAGCACAAGUAGAAAAUUUUCUGAAGGGUUAAGCAAGUACAUCUCCCUUAGGAUAACAUGAUCAACUCUUUGAGGCUCAGAGCCCUGACUCCAACUGAGCUUGUUUCCCACAAUACCGAAUUCUCAAACAGGAAUGGUGGGAGCAGUGGAUCACACAGCACACACACCUUACGGCAUCAAGCUGGCGCGGCCACUCAUUUCACAGAUGUGAAGACACGGUCAGAAAAUGACCAAGCAGCUGGCCUAGGUCACAGGUGCUGACCUACUCACGGAGCCUGGUAUGGAUCCAGAUCCCCUGACCCCAAGUCCAGCGCCACUGCCAUGGUGUCUUACAGCAGACACUGUAGUUAAUCAACAUCCGCGGAAGGGAUUUGAGUUGGGGCUGAAGUUGUGUUUCCAGGAUCCUGGUAAGGAAGCUGCACUUUGGAUCCCUUCCCAGGGGCAGAGACCCCGAUGCUACAGUGCUUGAGUGCAUCAGCAAAGACUCCACAGAUGCGUCUGGAUGAAGUUAGCAGCCAAUGGCUGUGUGAUGGGGCACUGCCAUCAGUGUGAUGGAACAUCUUUCUUUCUUCUUAAUUUUGUGAUUUGAACAAAAAAAUGAACUAAAAUACAUUGUGAUGAUGGCAAAAGAUAUUCCUCUGGUCCUACCCUUUGAGACAGAGAAAGGACAAAUAAAGCCACUACUCAAGGUCCUACGGCUUUUCUCUCAAAUUUGUCUUUAUUUGUAACAUCU